Molecule: long non-coding RNA, 562 nt
Organism: Malaya genurostris
Lineage: Eukaryota; Metazoa; Arthropoda; Insecta; Diptera; Culicidae
Exons: 3
Source: RefSeq, a predicted model, not a curated record
CUUAGGUGCACUAUUCUCAUUCGAAAUGCACGUUUUUUUCGUCUGUCUGCUUAUCUGCUUAUGCACACACAAAAAAAAACGGGAGGGUGGCGAAGGAGUAACUCAAGUGUGGCGAAGACGGAAUACAUACGCUGGCGGAAGUGCUGUUUUAGUCCUUGAGGAGAGGGUCUUAAUGAUAAGUUGUGAAGAUGCGUGCAUUGUGUGUUUGUCCUUUGCCUUCCGGCCGGAAAAAGGGGCUGUUAUCUGCGAUCUAAGAAACUGCCAGGCUGUACUUGUAAGGAUAUAACUGGGGUGGAACAUUCGGGCCCUUUCCCACAGAUAUUCCACGCACGAAACUACUUUCCCUUACUACCCGCGUACGAAGGCACGAAGAUCGUACUUUUUUUUAUAUAAAAUUGUACCGACUUAAAUCAAAUGAAAUCGAAAAGGUGUAAUUAUUUGAAAGGACGGCGCUACGUGCCACACAGCCAACGAAUCAAUCGAUGUUCUAUGAACAAUUUUUGAAAAUCGAAUAAUCAGAAGAAUGUAAAUUGGCCUCCGGGACGCUGCGAUUUGACGCCGC